Molecule: transfer RNA, 74 nt
Rfam family: tRNA
About the family: Transfer RNA (tRNA) molecules are approximately 80 nucleotides in length. Their secondary structure includes four short double-helical elements and three loops (D, anti-codon, and T loops).
Source: Rfam
GCACUAAUGACUGAAUAGGAAAUGGUACUUCAUUUGUAACGAAGAUAAUUCGGGUUCGACUCCUGAUUAGUGCU